AAUUAAUGAACUUGUAAAAGUGUGUACCUUGAAAGUAUAAAAAAGGCAAAUCAAAAACCUAUUAAUUU
RNAcentral lists this transfer RNA (68 nucleotides) under Trigonopterus sp. 4 AH-2016. Its description in RNAcentral is "tRNA-Ser". Lineage: Eukaryota; Metazoa; Arthropoda; Insecta; Coleoptera; Curculionidae. The record is from RNAcentral.